CAAGUACCGUUCGAAUAGGGCGGUACCUUGACGGUACCUAACCAGAAAGCCACGGCUAACUACGUGCCAGCAGCCGCGGUAAUACGUAGGUGGCAAGCGUUGUCCGGAAUUAUUGGGCGUAAAGGGCUCGCAGGCGGUUUCUUAAGUCUGAUGUGAAAGCCCCCGGCUCAACCGGGGAGGGUCAUUGGAAACUGGGGAACUUGAGUGCAGAAGAGGAGAGUGGAAUUCCACGUGUAGCGGUGAAAUGCGUAGAGAUGUGGAGGAAUAAAAGUGGCGAAGGCGACUCUCUGGUCUGUAACUGACGCUGAGGAGCGAAAGCGUGGGGAGCGAACAGGAUUAGAUAAAUUGGUAGUCCACGCCGUAAACGAUGAGUGCUAAGUGUUAGGGGGUUUCCGCCCCUUAGUGCUGCAGCUAACGCAUUAAGCACUCCGCCUGGGGAGUACGGUCGCAAUCACCCCAAACUCAAAGGAAUUGACGGGGGCCCGCACAAGCGGUGGAGCAUGUGGUUUAAUUCGAAGCAACGCGAAGAACCUUACCAGGUCUUGACAUCCUCUGACAAUCCUAGAGAUAGGACGUCCCCUUCGGGGGCAGAGUGACAGGUGGUGCAUGGUUGUCGUCAGUUCGUGUCGUGAGAUGUUGGGUUAAGUCCCGCAACAAGCGCAACCCUUGUUCUUUAUUGCCAUCAUU
RNAcentral lists this ribosomal RNA (687 nucleotides) under Bacillus tequilensis. Its description in RNAcentral is "bacterial SSU rRNA". It matches the Rfam family "Bacterial small subunit ribosomal RNA", at positions 444 to 1125 of the family's 1533-position model. The record is from RNAcentral. Lineage: Bacteria; Bacillati; Bacillota; Bacilli; Caryophanales; Bacillaceae.